GGUUAAGCGACUAAGCGUACACGGUGGAUGCCCUGGCAGUCAGAGGCGAUGAAGGGCGUGCUAAUCUGCGAUAAGCGCCGGUAAGGUGAUAUGAACCGUUAUAACCGGCGAUACCCGAAUGGGGAAACCCAGUGUGAUUCGUCACACUAUCAUUAACUGAAUCCAUAGGUUAAUGAGGCGAACCGGGGGAACUGAAACAUCUAAGUACCCCGAGGAAAAGAAAUCAACCGAGAUUCCCCCAGUAGCGGCGAGCGAACGGGGAGGAGCCCAGAGCCUGAAUCAGCAUGUGUGUUAGUGGAAGCGUCUGGAAAGGCGCGCGAUACAGGGUGACAGCCCCGUACACAAAAGCGCAUGUGCUGUGAGCUCGAUGAGUAGGGCGGGACACGUGGUAUCCUGUCUGAAUAUGGGGGGACCAUCCUCCAAGGCUAAAUACUCCUGACUGACCGAUAGUGAACCAGUACCGUGAGGGAAAGGCGAAAAGAACCCCGGCGAGGGGAGUGAAAAAGAACCUGAAACCGUGUACGUACAAGCAGUGGGAGCACAGGUUUACCUGUGUGACUGCGUACCUUUUGUAUAAUGGGUCAGCGACUUAUAUUCUGUAGCAAGGUUAACCGUAUAGGGGAGCCGGAGGGAAACCGAGUCUUAAUUGGGCGUUAAGUUGCAGGGUAUAGACCCGAAACCCGGUGAUCUAGCCAUGGGCAGGUUGAAGGUUGGGUAACACUAACUGGAGGACCGAACCGACUAAUGUUGAAAAAUUAGCGGAUGACCUGUGGCUGGGGGUGAAAGGCCAAUCAAACCGGGAGAUAGCUGGUUCUCCCCGAAAGCUAUUUAGGUAGCGCCUCGUGAAUUCAUCUCCGGGGGUAGAGCACUGUUUCGGCUAGGGGGCCAUCCCGGCUUACCAACCCGAUGCAAACUGCGAAUACCGGAGAAUGUUAUCACGGGAGACACACGGCGGGUGCUAACGUCCGUCGUGAAGAGGGAAACAACCCAGACCGCCAGCUAAGGUCCCAAAGUCAUGGUUAAGUGGGAAACGAUGUGGGAAGGCCCAGACAGCCAGGAUGUUGGCUUAGAAGCAGCCAUCAUUUAAAGAAAGCGUAAUAGCUCACUGGUCGAGUCGGCCUGCGCGGAAGAUGUAACGGGGCUAAACCAUGCACCGAAGCUGCGGCAGCGAACGUAUCACCCAAGACAACUUUACGGAGUUGACGAUUGACGGAGCGAAGCGACGUCAAAGCGUUCAUUAAAGUCGAGUUGGCUUAGGGAUACGUUCGUUGGGUAGGGGAGCGUUCUGUAAGCCUGUGAAGGUGUGUCGUGAGGCAUGCUGGAGGUAUCAGAAGUGCGAAUGCUGACAUAAGUAACGAUAAAGCGGGUGAAAAGCCCGCUCGCCGGAAGACCAAGGGUUCCUGUCCAACGUUAAUCGGGGCAGGGUGAGUCGACCCCUAAGGCGAGGCCGAAAGGCGUAGUCGAUGGGAAACGGGUUAAUAUUCCCGUACUUGGUGUUACUGCGAAGGGGGGACGGAGAAGGCUAUGUUGGCCGGGCGACGGUUGUCCCGGUUUAAGCGUGUAGGUGUGUGUUCCAGGUAAAUCCGGUUCACUUUAACACUGAGGCGUGACGACGAGGCACUACGGUGCUGAAGCAACAAAUGCCCUGCUUCCAGGAAAAGCCUCUAAGCAUCAGGUAACAUCAAAUCGUACCCCAAACCGACACAGGUGGUCAGGUAGAGAAUACCAAGGCGCUUGAGAGAACUCGGGUGAAGGAACUAGGCAAAAUGGUGCCGUAACUUCGGGAGAAGGCACGCUGACACGUAGGUGAAGUGAUUUACUCAUGGAGCUGAAGUCAGUCGAAGAUACCAGCUGGCUGCAACUGUUUAUUAAAAACACAGCACUGUGCAAACACGAAAGUGGACGUAUACGGUGUGACGCCUGCCCGGUGCCGGAAGGUUAAUUGAUGGGGUCAGCGCAAGCGAAGCUCCUGAUCGAAGCCCCGGUAAACGGCGGCCGUAACUAUAACGGUCCUAAGGUAGCGAAAUUCCUUGUCGGGUAAGUUCCGACCUGCACGAAUGGCGUAAUGAUGGCCAGGCUGUCUCCACCCGAGACUCAGUGAAAUUGAACUCGCUGUGAAGAUGCAGUGUACCCGCGGCAAGACGGAAAGACCCCGUGAACCUUUACUAUAGCUUGACACUGAACAUUGAGCCUUGAUGUGUAGGAUAGGUGGGAGGCUUUGAAGCGUGGACGCCAGUCUGCGUGGAGCCGACCUUGAAAUACCACCCUUUAAUGUUUGAUGUUCUAACGUGGACCCGUUACCCGGGUUGCGGACAGUGUCUGGUGGGUAGUUUGACUGGGGCGGUCUCCUCCUAAAGAGUAACGGAGGAGCACGAAGGUUGGCUAAUCCUGGUCGGACAUCAGGAGGUUAGUGCAAUGGCAUAAGCCAGCUUGACUGCGAGCGUGACGGCGCGAGCAGGUGCGAAAGCAGGUCAUAGUGAUCCGGUGGUUCUGAAUGGAAGGGCCAUCGCUCAACGGAUAAAAGGUACUCCGGGGAUAACAGGCUGAUACCGCCCAAGAGUUCAUAUCGACGGCGGUGUUUGGCACCUCGAUGUCGGCUCAUCACAUCCUGGGGCUGAAGUAGGUCCCAAGGGUAUGGCUGUUCGCCAUUUAAAGUGGUACGCGAGCUGGGUUUAGAACGUCGUGAGACAGUUCGGUCCCUAUCUGCCGUGGGCGCUGGAGAACUGAGGGGGGCUGCUCCUAGUACGAGAGGACCGGAGUGGACGCAUCACUGGUGUUCGGGUUGUCAUGCCAAUGGCACUGCCCGGUAGCUAAAUGCGGAAGAGAUAAGUGCUGAAAGCAUCUAAGCACGAAACUUGCCCCGAGAUGAGUUCUCCCUGAGACUUAGAGUCUCCUGAAGGAACGUUGAAGACGACGACGUUGAUAGGCCGGGUGUGUAAGCGCAGCGAUGCGUUGAGCUAACCGGUACUAAUGAACCGUGAGGCUUAACCUU
Molecule: ribosomal RNA, 2992 nt
Filed under: Salmonella enterica subsp. enterica
Lineage: Bacteria; Pseudomonadati; Pseudomonadota; Gammaproteobacteria; Enterobacterales; Enterobacteriaceae
Description: 23S ribosomal RNA
Rfam family: Bacterial large subunit ribosomal RNA
Source: RNAcentral